AGCUUCAACCUUGGUGAUAGGUUCCCCCGAGCGAGCGACGAGGGGGAUUAAUAGGGAACACGGUGCGGCGGACCCCUCUGGGGACCUAAUCCGUGGCUGCCCCCGCAACUGUGAGCAGCGAGUCGACGCCGACUUCGUGCCACUGGCCCUGUAUCCGGGGCUGGGAAGGCGUGGCGACCGACUACGACCUGCGAGCCAGGAGACCUGCCGUCACCGGAAGAGCCGU
Molecule: non-coding RNA, 226 nt
Filed under: Skermanella aerolata
Lineage: Bacteria; Pseudomonadati; Pseudomonadota; Alphaproteobacteria; Rhodospirillales; Azospirillaceae
Source: RNAcentral